This 422-nucleotide ribosomal RNA is filed under the name uncultured bacterium. RNAcentral's name for it is "partial 16S ribosomal RNA". It matches the Rfam family "Bacterial small subunit ribosomal RNA", at positions 359 to 773 of the family's 1533-position model. The record is from RNAcentral.
GAAUUUGGGACAAUGGGCGAAAGCCUGAUCCAGCAAUGCCGCGUGCAGUAUGAAGGCCUUCGGGUUGUAAACUCCUUUUGUACGGAACGAAAAGCUUUGGGUUAAUACCCUGAAGUCAUGACGGUACCGUAAGACUACACACCGCGUGACUACAUGCCAGCAACCGCGGUAAUACGUAGGGUGCAAGCGUUAAUCGGAAUUACUGGGCGUAAAGCGUGCGGAGGCGGUUUUGUAAGACAGAGGUGAAAUCCCCGGGCUCAACCUGGGAACUGCCUUUGUGACUGCAAGGCUAGAGUACGGCAGAGGGGGGUGGAAUUCCGCGUGUAGCAGUGAAAUGCGUAGAUAUGCGGAGGAACACCGAUGGCGAAGGCAACCCCCUGGGCCUGUACUGACGCUCAUGCACGAAAGCGUGGGGAGCAAAC